GACGAACGCUAGCGGCGGGCUUAACACAUGCAAGUCGAACGGCAGGAGCCUACUAAUAUGGGGUGCGAGCGGCGCAAACGGGUGAGAAACACGUGUAAAACGUGCCCAUGACUUGGGGAUAACUUCAAGAAACUGGGGAAAAUACCGGAUAAGAGCGACUGCUGCCAGGUGGGGGUUGGAGCUUUUCGGCGGUAGGAGAUGGACUCGCGGCUUAUCAGCGUGUUGGUGGGGUAGUGGCUUAACAGGGCUUUGACGGGUAGCAGGCCUGAGAGGGUGACCGGCCACAUUGGGACUGAGAUACGGCCCAGACUCCUACGGGAGGCAGCAGUGUGGAAGAUUGCACGAUGGGCGGAUGCCGGAUGCAGCAACGCCGCGUGCGGGAUGACGGCCUUCUGGUUGUAAGCCGCUUUCGCCUGUUACGAAGCGUGGGUGACGGUAAUGGGUAAAGAAGCACCGGCUAACUACGUG
This 468-nucleotide ribosomal RNA is filed under the name uncultured bacterium. RNAcentral describes it as "partial 16S ribosomal RNA". It matches the Rfam family "Bacterial small subunit ribosomal RNA", at positions 28 to 507 of the family's 1533-position model. The record is from RNAcentral.